ACGGAGGUAGUUUACUACCAGACGUCGAGCGGCGAACGGGUGAGUAACGCGUAGGAAUCUACCUAUUAGAGGGGGAUAGCCCGGGGAAACUCGGAUUAAUACCGCAUACGCCCUACGGGGGAAAGCAGGGGAUCUUCGGACCUUGCGCUAAUAGAUGAGCCUGCGUCGGAUUAGCUAGUUGGUAGGGUAAAGGCCUACCAAGGCGACGAUCCGUAGCUGGUCUGAGAGGAUGAUCAGCCACACUGGAACUGAGACACGGUCCAGACUCCUACGGGAGGCAGCAGUGGGGAAUAUUGGACAAUGGGGGCAACCCUGAUCCAGCCAUGCCGCGUGUGUGAAGAAGGCCUUCGGGUUGUAAAGCACUUUCAGUAGGGAGGAAAGCCUGAUAGCUAAUAUUUAUCAGGAUUGACGUUACCUACAGAAGCAGCACCGGCUAACUUCGUGCCAGCAGCCGCGGUAAUACGAAGGGUGCAAGCGUUAAUCGGAAUUACUGGGCGUAAAGCGCGCGUAGGCGGUUUGAUAAGUGAGAUGUGAAAGCCCCGGGCUCAACCUGGGAACUGCAUCUCAUACUGUCAGGCUAGAGUACGGUAGAGGGGGGUAGAAUUCCACGUGUAGCGGUGAAAUGCGUAGAGAUGUGGAGGA
This 642-nucleotide ribosomal RNA is filed under the name uncultured bacterium. RNAcentral describes it as "bacterial SSU rRNA". It matches the Rfam family "Bacterial small subunit ribosomal RNA", at positions 69 to 705 of the family's 1533-position model. The record is from RNAcentral.